CAAUGAUUGAUUUUACUGUUCACUAUAAAAUAAUCACUUCAGCUUUUGUUAAGCUUACCUCUUAUUUUGGGAUGGUGAUUAUCUUUGAAUUCCAUGAUAAAUUUUCCUGCGUUCAAUGAAAAGAGGCAGAUGUUGAUGGCAUUUCCCAGUGUAGUGAAGAUGUCAUAUGGUUUGUUGAAUCCUAUGUUGCUCGGACUCCUAAAAAAUAUCAAUGGAUGCAGGCUGGAUGUUCAUAAUAUUGUAUUUUUUUGAAAAGCUGUCACGUAUGUAGAAUCAAAAACGACGAGUAUGUGAAACUUAGGUUGAAGGUAAAUGGAACUGUAACGGGACAUGUUACAAGAAUGGAAUUUAUAAUAAUCAAAUUUUCAAACAAAGUAAUAAGUUGUAUAGAAGAGAUGUAACUUCAGCUA
This is a long non-coding RNA of Capsicum annuum, 410 nucleotides long. RefSeq lists it as uncharacterized. The transcript is spliced from 2 exons. The record is from RefSeq and is a predicted model, not a curated record. NCBI's taxonomy places the organism in Eukaryota, Viridiplantae, Streptophyta, Magnoliopsida, Solanales, Solanaceae.